Thermoactinomyces vulgaris is the source of this 125-nucleotide non-coding RNA. The record is from Rfam. Lineage: Bacteria; Bacillati; Bacillota; Bacilli; Caryophanales; Thermoactinomycetaceae.
UAAAAAAUAGGCUCGCGGAUAUUCCGCGAGCCCGAUGUAUCUUCCACAACAUCGGUGUCAGAUACUUAAUGGGAGAGGAGAAACCGGAGGAAGAGCUUAUGGGGAAACGUAAGUCUUCUCCGCGG